UGUGAGUGAAGAAGGCCUUCGGGUCGUAAGGCUCUGUCAAGUGGGAAUAAAGUCCCUCGGUGAAUACCCGAGGGAUCUGAAGGUACCACUAAAGGAAACACCGGCUAACUCCGUGCCAGCAGCCGCGGUAAUACGGAGGGUGCAAGCGUUAUUCGGAUUUAUUGGGCGUAAAGAGCGUGUAGGCGGUUGGGAUAGUCAGACGUGAAAGCCUUCUGCUCAACAGAAGAAGUACGUCUGAAACUGCCAAACUUGAGUACGAGAGAGGAAAGUGGAACUCCCAAUGUAGAGGUGAAAUUCGUAGAUAUUGGGAGGAACACCUGUGGCGAAGGCGACUUUCUGGAUCGAUACUGACGCUGAGACGCGAAAGCGUGGGUAGCAAACAGGAUUAGAUACCCUGGUAGUCCACGCUGUAAACGAUGGGAACUAGGUGUAGCGGGUAUUGAUCCCUGCUGUGCCAAAGCUAACGCAUUAA
Molecule: ribosomal RNA, 472 nt
Filed under: uncultured delta proteobacterium
Lineage: Bacteria; Deltaproteobacteria
Description: bacterial SSU rRNA
Rfam family: Bacterial small subunit ribosomal RNA
Source: RNAcentral